GACGAACGCUGGCGGCGUGCCUAAUACAUGCAAGUCGAGCGGACGGAUGGGAGCUUGCUCCCAGACCGUCAGCGGCGGGCGGGUGAGUAACACGUGGGCAACCUGCCUGUAAGACUGGGAUAACUCCGGGAAACCGGGGCUAAUACCGGAUAACUCUUUCCCUCACAUGAGGGAAAGCUGAAAGAUGGCAUCUCGCUAUCACUUACAGAUGGGCCCGCGGCGCAUUAGCUAGUUGGUGAGGUAACGGCUCACCAAGGCGACGAUGCGUAGCCGACCUGAGAGGGUGAUCGGCCACACUGGGACUGAGACACGGCCCAGACUCCUACGGGAGGCAGCAGUAGGGAAUCUUCCGCAAUGGACGAAAGUCUGACGGAGCAACGCCGCGUGAGUGAUGAAGGUUUUCGGAUCGUAAAACUCUGUUGUCUGGGAAGAACAAGUACCGGAGUAACUGCCGGUACCUUGACGGUACCUGACCAGAAAGCCACGGCUAACUACGUG
This 498-nucleotide ribosomal RNA is filed under the name uncultured bacterium. RNAcentral describes it as "partial 16S ribosomal RNA". It matches the Rfam family "Bacterial small subunit ribosomal RNA", at positions 28 to 507 of the family's 1533-position model. The record is from RNAcentral.